Molecule: ribosomal RNA, 497 nt
Filed under: uncultured bacterium
Lineage: Bacteria
Description: partial 16S ribosomal RNA
Rfam family: Bacterial small subunit ribosomal RNA
Source: RNAcentral
GAUGAACGCUGGCGGCGUGCCUAAUACAUGCAAGUCGAGCGAACAGACGAGGAGCUUGCUCCUCUGACGUUAGCGGCGGACGGGUGAGUAACACGUGGAUAACCUACCUAUAAGACUGGGAUAACUUCGGGAAACCGGAGCUAAUACCGGAUAAUAUAUUGAACCGCAUGGUUCAAUAGUGAAAGACGGUUUUGCUGUCACUUAUAGAUGGAUCCGCGCCGCAUUAGCUAGUUGGUAAGGUAACGGCUUACCAAGGCGACGAUGCGUAGCCGACCUGAGAGGGUGAUCGGCCACACUGGAACUGAGACACGGUCCAGACUCCUACGGGAGGCAGCAGUAGGGAAUCGGCCGCAAUGGGCGAAAGCCUGACGGAGCAACGCCGCGUGAGUGAUGAAGGUCUUCGGAUCGUAAAACUCUGUUAUUAGGGAAGAACAAAUGUGUAAGUAACUAUGCACGUCUUGACGGUACCUAAUCAGAAAGCCACGGCUAACUACGUG